Molecule: ribosomal RNA, 428 nt
Filed under: Bacteroidota bacterium
Lineage: Bacteria; Pseudomonadati; Bacteroidota
Description: Bacteroidetes bacterium partial 16S ribosomal RNA
Rfam family: Bacterial small subunit ribosomal RNA
Source: RNAcentral
UAGGGAAUCUUCCGCAAUGGACGCAAGUCUGACGGAGCAACGCCGCGUGAGUGAAGAAGGAUUUCGGUUCGUAAAACUCUGUUGUUAGAGAAGAACAGCGCAUAGAGUAACUGUUAUGCGUGUGACGGUAUCUAACCAGAAAGCCACGGCUAACUACGUGCCAGCAGCCGCGGUAAUACGUAGGUGGCAAGCGUUGUCCGGAUUUAUUGGGCGUAAAGCGAGCGCAGGCGGUUAGAUAAGUCUGAAGUUAAAGGCAGUGGCUCAACCAUUGUAGGCUUUGGAAACUGUUUAACUUGAGUGCAGAAGGGGAGAGGGGAAUUCCAUGUGUAGCGGUGAAAUGCGUAGAUAUAUGGAGGAACACCGGUGGCGAAAGCGGCUCUCUGGUCUGUAACUGACGCGGAGGCUCGAAAGCGUGGGGAGCGAACAGG